GACCUGGCUCCUCCUGAGAGGUGAUGCUUAUCUGUCAGAACUUGGAGGUGCCUUCUGUUCCGACUGCAGCUGGGCUGUAUCUUCUAUCCACAGAUUCACAUCGGCAUUUCACGUCCUUCUUGCUGCAGCCCCAUUUCCAAAGGGAGACCACCCCCACAUCCUUCAAGGCAGGCUAGGGGUCUCCAUAGCACAGCAUUGGACCAUCUGCUUUGCAUGCAGGCCUUCUGUCCUGGGAAUGUCCCCCCCCCCAUCGAAACCCUGGAUAGCUGCUGCCAGUCAGCGCAGGAUAGAAGAAGGAUAUUGAGCAGCUGGAAGGUGAGCAGAGGAGGGCGACCAGGAUGAUGAAGGGUCUGGAAACCAAGCCUGAUGAGGAACAGUUGAGGCAGCUGGGUAUGUUUAGCCUGGAGAAGAGGAGAGAGGAGAGCCAUCUUCCAAUAUCUGAGGGCUGCAAGAGGGAGCAAGCUUGUUUUCUGCUGCUCCAGAGGGGAGGGCAGGAGAGGAGAUUCGGACUAAACAUUAGCAAGAACUUUCUGACGGUAAGACUAUCUGUGAUGGUGGUGGACUCUGCUUCCUUGGAGGCUUUUAAGCAGAGGUUGGAUGCCAAUCUGCAAGGGAUUCAGCUGCAAUUUGGGAAGCGCAUGGCACUGGCCUACUUUACAGGGUUGUUGUAACCACACAAGGCUGUUGAGCAUCUGAAAGUGCCUGGCAAAUGUUGAGCCUUCCAUUUCAUUGUGGGGAACAGCACGUCAGGAGGCGUCCCUCAACUUCCGUUUCUUCUCUCUCCUGCAGCCAAGGGGGCCGGGCUGGAUUACCAAAUAGGCAGAGUAGGCACUGGCCUAUGGGCCCCACACAUUUUAGGGGUCCCGUCACAAUGGAUCAAAAUAAGAUUGAUUUGAUCUUGAAAGAAAACAACAAACAAGCUUUCUUAGUUCAAGGUUAUUCCAGUGUGCGCACGAGGCCUGCCUCCCUGCCCAGAUUUUGGCUGCCAAGGGGCCUCCACAGGGUUUAAUCCAGCACUGCCUCACAAACAGCCCAGUAUAUCUGAAGGAGCGUCACCACCCCCAUCGUUCAGCUCCAUCCCCACCCACUGAGGUCCAGCUCCGAGGGCCUUUUGGCAGUUCCCUCACAGCGAGAAGUGUUCCCUGGUUACAGGGAACCAGACAGAGGGCCUUCUCGGUAGUGGCACCCACCUUGUGGAAUGCCCUCCCAUCAGAUGUCAAGGAAAUAAACAACUGUCUGACUUUUAGAAAACAUCUGAAGCAAUUUCCCCAAAUACUUUCGUAUGCUAUUUUCACUAACCAAUACAACACUAGGCACA
This 1318-nucleotide long non-coding RNA is filed under the name Podarcis lilfordi (Lilford's wall lizard). Lineage: Eukaryota; Metazoa; Chordata; Lepidosauria; Squamata; Lacertidae. The record is from RNAcentral.